UAUUUUAUUUUUCCCACAAAAACAAUGUUCACAGUGUACAUCCCAACCAACACAAAGUAGUAGUUUAGCAGAAUUGGUUCAGAGGGUUGGUGCAUUAGUUACAUGUUGUGGUCAUUGUGUCUCAAGUACCAGUAUUUGUGUGUAAACAAUUGAGAAAAAGUGUAAUAAAAACAGAUUUUAGCUCUGAGUUAGUUCAUGUGGAACUUCACUGUUUGAACUGCUGCUGGUUGUUGUCCGCUGUUAGCUAAAGGCUGUCUGACGGUGAGGUGAAGAGGUGAAGAGAUGAAGAUGUGAAGAGGUGAAGAUGUGAAGAGAUGAAGAGGUGAAGAGAUGAAGAUGUGAAGAGGUGAAGAGAUGAAGAGAUGAAGAUGUGAAGAGAUGAAGAUGUGAAGAGGUGAAGAGAUGAAGAGAUGAAGAGGUGAAGAGGUGAAGAGAUGAAGAGGUGAAGAGAUGAAGAUGUGAAGAGGUGAAGAGAUGAAGAGAUGAAGAGGUGAAGAGGUGAAGAGAUGAAGAGGUGAAGAGAUGAAGAUGUGAAGAGGUGAAGAGAUGAAGAGGUGAAGAGAUGAAGAGGUGAAGAGGUGAAGAGGUGAAGAGAUGAAGAGGUGAAGAGAUGAAGAGGUGAAGAGAUGAAGAUGUGAAGAGGUGAAGAUGUGAAGAGGUGAAGAGAUGAAGAUGUGAAGAGGUGAAGAGAUGAAGAUGUGAAGAGGUGAAGAGAUGAAGAUGUGAAGAGAUGAAGAGGUGAAGAGAUGAAGAGGUGAAGAGGUGAAGAGCUGAAGAGGUGAAGAGGUGAAGAGGUGAAGAGAUGAAGAGAUGAAGAGAUGAAGAUGUGAAGAGGUGAAGAGAUGAAGAGAUGAAGAGGUGAAGAGAUGAAGAGAUGAAGAGGUGAAGAGAUGAAGAUGUGAAGAGGUGAAGAGAUGAAGAGGUGAAGAGAUGAAGAUGUGAAGAGGUGAAGAGGUGAAGAGAUGAAGAGGUGAAGAGAUGAAGAGGUGAAGAGAUGAAGAUGUGAAGAGGUGAAGAUGUGAAGAGGUGAAGAGAUGAAGAUGUGAAGAGGUGAAGAGGUGAAGAGGUGAAGAGGUGAAGAGGUGAAGAGGUGAAGAGGUGAAGAGAUGAAGAGAUGAAGAGGUGAA
Molecule: long non-coding RNA, 1127 nt
Organism: Dicentrarchus labrax (European seabass)
Lineage: Eukaryota; Metazoa; Chordata; Actinopteri; Moronidae
Exons: 3
Source: RefSeq, a predicted model, not a curated record